GGACUGGAGCCGCUUGUACUAAAGUCCCCUAAGCAAGGGCACAGCUCUUGUUACCGCCUGCUAAUGGAGUGGGGCUAUUUCAGUAGCAUUGAUUGACUGCUUUCUUCCUCUGAGGGAGCAACUUUCUCAUAUCUAGGGGAAAUGGAUCAUAAGCACCCUAGCAAAUGAGAGAAGGCCGGUGGAGGACGGAUGAUGAUGUCGGUGGCACGAAAAGGCCCUCUGUGCUACUGUCUGGUGGGGUGCAGUCAUUCCACCAUGGAACAUGACAAAGCCCAGUCCUCCCUGGCCACUAAACAAAACAUCUUUCCUGCCUGAUUGUUUUCAACAUGGGAAAAGAGGGGUUAAAACUGAGGAAACUCAUAUGUACAUCAGCCAACUCUUCUGUUCUUCCUUCAAGCCCCUACUUCCUUACCCUCCCUAUUUUCCUGCCUCCCUCUGAGGCAUUUGCAGAGCUGCCUGUUGUCUCCUCCCCAAUCCAGCCUCGCACAUGGCACGUAUGCUAUAG
RNAcentral lists this long non-coding RNA (505 nucleotides) under Gouania willdenowi (blunt-snouted clingfish). RNAcentral describes it as "lncRNA (ENSGWIG00000010580.1)". Lineage: Eukaryota; Metazoa; Chordata; Actinopteri; Blenniiformes; Gobiesocidae. The record is from RNAcentral.